Helicoverpa armigera (cotton bollworm) is the source of this 446-nucleotide long non-coding RNA. RefSeq lists it as uncharacterized. Lineage: Eukaryota; Metazoa; Arthropoda; Insecta; Lepidoptera; Noctuidae. The record is from RefSeq and is a predicted model, not a curated record. The transcript has 2 exons.
UUUUUUCACUUAGUUGGAGGUUGUUAAAAGUAAAAAAUGAUCAAAAUGAUCAAUCCAAAAAAGCGAAGGCGACUUUUUUGUCAGUAUCAUGAUACAAUGUGGAACCUAUCGAACGGGUGUAACUUCAUCGAAAUUUCCUGGUGGUGGGGCGUCCCGCGACGCCCCUGAUAUCGAGGCGCCCGGGUUAUUCGCACACCCUGCACCAUAGGUUAAGACGGCCCUGCAUGAGAUACAGCAUGUAAUGUAGACAACCCGGACAGCGGAUUCUUAGUAACAGGGUCCCGUUUCCUCCUUUUGGGUACCGAUAAAGAGUUAAUAAAGAAUAGAGAGCGAGCGUUGCGAGCACGAAUUCUUCAGCAAAACUACUCUACCUGUAACUAUGUCCUGAACCUGGCCCAGGGGGGGGUCAUGACCUUGUGACCUACCCCCUGGAUCCGCCGUUGAAC